RNAcentral lists this ribosomal RNA (438 nucleotides) under uncultured bacterium. RNAcentral's name for it is "bacterial SSU rRNA". It matches the Rfam family "Bacterial small subunit ribosomal RNA", at positions 338 to 769 of the family's 1533-position model. The record is from RNAcentral.
CCUACGGGAGGCAGCAGUAGGGAAUUUUCGUCAAUGGGGGAAACCCUGAACGAGCAAUGCCGCGUGAGUGAAGAAGGUCUUCGGAUCGUAAAGCUCUGUUGUAAGUGAAGAACGGCUCAUAGAGGAAAUGCUAUGGGAGUGACGGUAGCUUACCAGAAAGCCACGGCUAACUACGUGCCAGCAGCCGCGGUAAUACGUAGGUGGCAAGCGUUAUCCGGAAUCAUUGGGCGUAAAGGGUGCGUAGGUGGCGUACUAAGUCUGUAGUAAAAGGCAAUGGCUCAACCAUUGUAAGCUAUGGAAACUGGUAUGCUGGAGUGCAGAAGAGGGCGAUGGAAUUCCAUGUGUAGCGGUAAAAUGCGUAGAUAUAUGGAGGAACACCAGUGGCGAAGGCGGUCGCCUGGUCUGUAACUGACACUGAGGCACGAAAGCGUGGGGAGC